GACGAACGCUGGCGGCGUGCCUAAUACAUGCAAGUAGAACGCUGAAGGAGGAGCUUGCUUCUCUGGAUGAGUUGCGAACGGGUGAGUAACGCGUAGGUAACCUGCCUGGUAGCGGGGGAUAACUAUUGGAAACGAUAGCUAAUACCGCAUAAGAGUAGAUGUCGCAUGACAUUUGCUUAAAAGGUGCAAUUGCAUCACUACCAGAUGGACCUGCGUUGUAUUAGCUAGUUGGUGGGGUAACGGCUCACCAAGGCGACGAUACAUAGCCGACCUGAGAGGGUGAUCGGCCACACUGGGACUGAGACACGGCCCAGACUCCUACGGGAGGCAGCAGUAGGGAAUCUUCGGCAAUGGACGGAAGUCUGACCGAGCAACGCCGCGUGAGUGAGGAAGGUUUUCGGAUCGUAAAGCUCUGUUGUAAGAGAAGAAUGAGUGUGAGAGUGGAAAGUUC
RNAcentral lists this ribosomal RNA (451 nucleotides) under Streptococcus mitis. RNAcentral describes it as "bacterial SSU rRNA". It matches the Rfam family "Bacterial small subunit ribosomal RNA", at positions 28 to 465 of the family's 1533-position model. The record is from RNAcentral. Lineage: Bacteria; Bacillati; Bacillota; Bacilli; Lactobacillales; Streptococcaceae.